CGCGUGCGCUGCCGUAUGGGACCUUAAAGCUAUGGGGACGGCUGUAGGAGAACCCGAAGCCGGGGACGCUGAGACAUGCAGGCAGGAGGGAAACGUCGGGCGUCGCGUGGGGGUCCCCGAGGAGCGGCCAUUUGGGAAGGGAUGGAACCGAAGGGUUAUCUACAAACUGCAGGUGCUGAAGCCGGGAGCAUCCUCAGGAAGGGCGCGCUGUCGGUGGAACGGAGCGGAACGCGCCCGGCUUCCCCCCACCUCGAGCUGGAACGGAAGGAAGGAGGGAGGCAGGAAGGAAGGAAAGUCUGUCCCAGACGGACACACGGGUUCAAUCCAUUUGGAUUUUGCUUUGUUUUAAUCUUUGCGGAAGGAGGCACAUGCAAAGAUGGUUCUGUUCCUGCACUGGAGGCUCACGCCGUGCCGCUCGGGUGCACCGGCGCUCAGCAUUUCAGGCUGUUCCUUUCAGCAUUUCCAAUCCCUCUGUUGGGAACGCGCAGCAGCAGCAGAGCACCGAGGCUGCUGGGCAAGGAGGGCUGUGAAAGCAAGUCCUGCCCGUCCUAUGCACAAUGACUUUUAUUUUUUGGCUUUUCAACGCAAAACUGUCCUUUCUUCCUUCUUACGGUCCCGCAACGAGGACAGGAAUGGAGCUGUCAGGCCAAAGGGGUGAGAGGCAAAAAGAAGGCAUCGUGUUUGUGUCGAGCAAAGCUUACGGUCACAGCUUGCAGUGCUGAAGGUUUGUUCAGGUAUUGCUCUUGUUUUCCUUCCUCCGAGCACGGGAAUUGUCAGUGCAAUGAGCUGACAGCCUCCUGCUGCGAGGUUGGCUCUAGGAAAGCACCGGGACUCGCCCUACGUCCUUGGCCUGGGCUGCAGCAUGGAGCACAGUAACAGGUCCUACAGCGGGGCGCUGCUCCCCUGCUUGUAAACACGAUUUGCUUCACCGGGGCGUGCUGGAGGUUGGCUUGGGCUGCAUUGUUUGUUGUUCCCUAAUUCACAGUUUGAAUGCCUGCGCGACAGAUUUCAGAGGGAGAGGGAGAGCCAUGGGGGGAGGGGAGCGGUGGCGGUGCGCUUGGGCCACAUUAUCUCUUUGCUCGCACAAAGUACAAGGCAUUUGUUUUGGGAUAGUACUUCACGUUCUGUUUCUUGUCCAUCAGGCCACCGAAGAUGAUGAGCUCCCCUCUGCC
Molecule: long non-coding RNA, 1172 nt
Filed under: Gallus gallus (chicken)
Lineage: Eukaryota; Metazoa; Chordata; Aves; Galliformes; Phasianidae
Source: RNAcentral